This 341-nucleotide ribosomal RNA is filed under the name Pheidole hoplitica. RNAcentral describes it as "partial 12S ribosomal RNA". The record is from RNAcentral. Lineage: Eukaryota; Metazoa; Arthropoda; Insecta; Hymenoptera; Formicidae.
UUUUAAUUAAAAAUUGUUUAAUUAGAGAUUAAAUGAAACCAUUAAAUCUAAAUUAUUUGGCGGUAUUUUAAAUAAUUAGAGGAAUUUGUUAGUUAAAUGAUACUCCACGAAUGGAAUGUCCUGAUAAAAUUUUUAUGUAUUGUUGUAUAAAAAUUAUUUUAAGAGAAUUAUAAUUAGAAAAUUUAAGAUAAUUUGAAUUCAAAUCAAAAUGUAGAAUUAUUAGGGUUAAAUGAAUUACAAUUUAAUUUAAUAUUGGAUUUAUUUUUUUAAUAAAAAUAAUGAAAUAGGAUUUAAGAGUAAAUUUGAAAAAAUAUUCAAAUUGAAAUAUUAACUAAAAUAUG